Molecule: ribosomal RNA, 373 nt
Filed under: uncultured organism
Description: partial 16S ribosomal RNA
Rfam family: Bacterial small subunit ribosomal RNA
Source: RNAcentral
GUAGGUGGCAAGCGUUGUCCGGAAUUAUUGGGCGUAAAGCGCGCGCAGGCGGUCCUUUAAGUCUGAUGUGAAAGCCCACGGGCUCAACCGUGGAGGGUCAUUGGAAACUGGGGGACUUGAGUACAGAAGAGGAAAGCGGAAUUCCAAGUGUAGCGGUGAAAUGCGUAGAGAUUUGGAGGAACACCAGUGGCGAAGGCGGCUUUCUGGUCUGUGACUGACGCUGAGGCGCGAAAGCGUGGGGAGCAAACAGGAUUAGAUACCCUGGUAGUCCACGCCGUAAACGAUGAGUGCUAAGUGUUAGGGGGUUUCCGCCCCUUAGUGCUGCAGCUAACGCAUUAAGCACUCCGCCUGGGGAGUACGGCCGCAAAGGCUG